RNAcentral lists this transfer RNA (89 nucleotides) under Actinotignum urinale. RNAcentral's name for it is "tRNA-Ser". It matches the Rfam family "tRNA". Rfam says of the family: Transfer RNA (tRNA) molecules are approximately 80 nucleotides in length. Their secondary structure includes four short double-helical elements and three loops (D, anti-codon, and T loops). Further hydrogen bonds mediate the characteristic L-shaped molecular structure. tRNAs have two regions of fundamental functional importance: the anti-codon, which is responsible for specific mRNA codon recognition, and the 3' end, to which the tRNAs corresponding amino acid is attached (by aminoacyl-tRNA synthetases). tRNAs cope with the degeneracy of the genetic code in two manners: having more than one tRNA (with a specific anti-codon) for a particular amino acid; and 'wobble' base-pairing, i.e. permitting non-standard base-pairing at the 3rd anti-codon position. The record is from RNAcentral. Lineage: Bacteria; Bacillati; Actinomycetota; Actinomycetes; Actinomycetales; Actinomycetaceae.
GGAGGAUUCGCAUAGUGGCCUAGUGCGCACGCUUGGAAAGCGUGUUGGGUGAAUAGCCCUCGGGGGUUCGAAUCCCCCAUCCUCCGCCA